CGGUGGGAUUCGAACCUACGACCUUUGGAAUACUAGCCCAAUGCUCUUUCAACUGAGCUACGCGGUCAGGACGGUUCGAGUAAGUGAUAUUUCGGAACAGUAUCUAGUUCCUUCAACACCAAUGUGUUCUUGUAAGAUGAAUUUUUUUCUGUGUUGGUGUUGUGUACUCAGGUACCAACCGUGGCCGGCCAUAUUUUUCAUGCUCGCCCGGUGUGGAUAUGCACUCAGAGUAACAUCGCAGGCAUAUUAUUCACCUGAAUACACAACACCAACACAGAAAAAAAUU
Molecule: non-coding RNA, 286 nt
Organism: Paramuricea clavata
Lineage: Eukaryota; Metazoa; Cnidaria; Anthozoa; Malacalcyonacea; Plexauridae
Source: the annotation of a GenBank genome assembly